AAGCUCACCAUCUCAGCUAUGAAUCUGAUCUCAGAACUGUACUCGUGUCUCUCAUGGCUGAGGCUCUUCAACACUCUCCUUCCUGUCAAAAAUGCUCACCUGUACUCUAUGAAAAGAAAAGACAAGGCAAAGACUGGACUUGGGAUAUUCAUCAGAAACAAAUGCAACGCA
Molecule: long non-coding RNA, 171 nt
Organism: Mauremys mutica (yellowpond turtle)
Lineage: Eukaryota; Metazoa; Chordata; Testudines; Geoemydidae
Exons: 3
Source: RefSeq, a predicted model, not a curated record